This 587-nucleotide small RNA is filed under the name uncultured Burkholderia sp. Its description in RNAcentral is "bacterial SSU rRNA". The stretch from base 1 to 366 matches the Rfam family "Bacterial small subunit ribosomal RNA", at positions 1168 to 1533 of the family's 1533-position model. Lineage: Bacteria; Pseudomonadati; Pseudomonadota; Betaproteobacteria; Burkholderiales; Burkholderiaceae. The record is from RNAcentral.
AGGAGGUGGGGAUGACGUCAAGUCCUCAUGGCCCUUAUGGGUAGGGCUUCACACGUCAUACAAUGGUCGGAACAGAGGGUUGCCAACCCGCGAGGGGGAGCUAAUCCCAGAAAACCGAUCGUAGUCCGGAUUGCACUCUGCAACUCGAGUGCAUGAAGCUGGAAUCGCUAGUAAUCGCGGAUCAGCAUGCCGCGGUGAAUACGUUCCCGGGUCUUGUACACACCGCCCGUCACACCAUGGGAGUGGGUUUUACCAGAAGUGGCUAGUCUAACCGCAAGGAGGACGGUCACCACGGUAGGAUUCAUGACUGGGGUGAAGUCGUAACAAGGUAGCCGUAUCGGAAGGUGCGGCUGGAUCACCUCCUUUCCAGAGCUAUCUCGCGAAGUUGAGCGCUCACGCUUAUCGGCUGUAAAUUUAAAGACAGACUCAGGGGUCUGUAGCUCAGUCGGUUAGAGCACCGUCUUGAUAAGGCGGGGGUCGUUGGUUCGAAUCCAACCAGACCCACCAUUGUCUGGCGGUAGGUACCUGAGGUCAUCUGUACUCAAUGGGGGCAUAGCUCAGCUGGGAGAGCACCUGCUUUGCAAGCA